This 438-nucleotide ribosomal RNA is filed under the name Staphylococcus aureus. RNAcentral describes it as "partial 23S ribosomal RNA". It matches the Rfam family "Bacterial large subunit ribosomal RNA", at positions 2465 to 2904 of the family's 2925-position model. Lineage: Bacteria; Bacillati; Bacillota; Bacilli; Caryophanales; Staphylococcaceae. The record is from RNAcentral.
ACCCCGGGGAUAACAGGCUUAUCUCCCCCAAGAGUUCACAUCGACGGGGAGGUUUGGCACCUCGAUGUCGGCUCAUCGCAUCCUGGGGCUGUAGUCGGUCCCAAGGGUUGGGCUGUUCGCCCAUUAAAGCGGUACGCGAGCUGGGUUCAGAACGUCGUGAGACAGUUCGGUCCCUAUCCGUCGUGGGCGUAGGAAAUUUGAGAGGAGCUGUCCUUAGUACGAGAGGACCGGGAUGGACAUACCUCUGGUGUACCAGUUGUCGUGCCAACGGCAUAGCUGGGUAGCUAUGUGUGGACGGGAUAAGUGCUGAAAGCAUCUAAGCAUGAAGCCCCCCUCAAGAUGAGAUUUCCCAACUUCGGUUAUAAGAUCCCUCAAAGAUGAUGAGGUUAAUAGGUUCGAGGUGGAAGCAUGGUGACAUGUGGAGCUGACGAAUACUAA